GCCUGCGCAGAGCGGGACCACGGACUGCAACGCUGAGGGGACGCGAGGCUUUCGCGCUCCCGGCAGGAGGUAUAUCUCUAUGAAUGACUUAAAUGAUCCUCCAAAUUGGAAUAUCCGACCUAAUUCCAGGGCUGAUGGCGGUGAUGGAAGCAGGUGGAAUUAUGCCCUAUUGGUUCCAAUGCUGGGAUUGGCGGCUUUUCGUUGGAUUUGGUCUAGGGAGUCCAAGAAAGAAAUAGAAAAAGAGAGAGAAGCAUACCUUCAGAGAACUACUGCUUUCCAGAAGGAUCUUGAAGCCAAGUACCAUGCUAUGAUCUCAGAAAAUCGGCGUGCUGUUGCUCAGUUGUCUUUGGAACUUGAAAAGGAACAAAACAGAACAGCUAGUUAUCGAGAAGCCCUUAUCUCUCAGGGGCGCAAGUUGGUAGAAGAAAAGAAGCUUCUGGAACAGGAACGGGCCCGGGUGAUGCAAGAGAAAAGGCAGUUACAGCCUCUGAAAGCUGUGUAUCUGAGCUGCCUGGAAAAGGAGGACGACUGGCAAAGGAGAGCCAAGCUCUUGCUGAAAGAGUUUGAAGAUGCUCUUACCAAAAGGCAGGGUAUCUACUGUAGUCUGUUUCUCUCUCGCCACAAGCGGCUGGAAUUAGAGAACAACUUGCUGGUGCGAGCAUCUGUUGACCCAGUCGCUGCUGACCUAGAGAUGGUGACUGGCUUAGUUGACAUAUUUAAGCAUGAUACAUAUUGUGGUGAUGUCUGGAACACCAACAAAUGCCAAAAUGGGAGACUCAUGUGGGUGUACCUCAAAUAUUGGGAACUAAUUGUCGAACUGAAAAAGUUCAAGAGAAUAGAGAAGGCCAUACUAGAAAAGUAAGACAAGAGUGAGAUGAAACUUCUUUUCCUGCCUCAAGGCCUGCUGUCAUCGUCGUGCAUUGUGGGCAUCCCGUGUUUUCCGUUCAGUGCUCGCUGUGUUGUGACCUCCACUCCCGCCACGCUCUGUGAGCAGAAGCACCGCAAGGCCUCAGAGACAGCAUGUUUCCUCCUCCAUCCUCUGCAACUGUACAGAUACAGUUUCCCUGAAGCGUUUUUUAAGCUACUGGACCAUCUUAGGGAUGAGGAAGCAGACUCAGAGAACCAAAGGAAGUUGAAGUGGACCAUGGCCCUUGGCUCUGGGCUCUCUGCUCUUAGCCCCAUGCCCUGCUCAGGACAGCUGGAUGCUUUCUUCAGUGGCUACUUAUAAUAUCUUUCUGCUAUGUUGCUAUCACUUGAUCUGAGAGAGAAACCAUUUUUUAGGUAAAUCUGGUCUAAAAAGUUUCCUCUAGUUAUUUGUAUUUGCUGGUGCAUCACACCCUUGCCUAAAGAGCGCUGCAGGUUCUAGUUCCUGUUACUAUACUGACUUGCUGUUUGUCCCUGGAUUAAACACUUAGUGCUUUUUUCUUGUGUUUGUCUUUAAAUGAAGAAAAUACGAUCAGUUAUUCUGCAGCUGAAUUUCAAGGUGAAUGAUUUUCAGGGUGAAUUUUUAAUCUUUCUCAUAUUUUCUUACGACCAACAUGUUCUCAGCCUAGCUUCCUUAAACACUGAGAUAAGUAUGUUCAGAUUGUUCAAAUCAAUUUAGGCACUGGCUUAGUACUACAGGAGUGGCAUUAAGACCUGCUUGUAUUUUUGUUGGCAAGUCUGAAUGUUAAUAUGAUGCUAUCCUUAAAAUUUAUUAGCUUAGGUUUGAAAUAGUGUCACAGUGUGGCCAUUUGAUGACUUCACAGAUGAACUAAAAGAUAACUGGAUAAAGUGAGAUUAUAGUGGAACGCUAUUUAACCAAAAUGGUUUAAAGUUGCAAAAAAGAAUAGGAGCCCAAGUGCUGAGUGAUGCGUGUGCAGAAUGUGUAGUAACUUUAGAGCAAAGCAUCAUUUGUCCUGGCUGCUUUCUUGGCGGUCACAGUGACUAUAAAACCUUAAGCCACCAAGGCGGGAGGACCCUCUAGGUUAAGGAGCCUGAGCUCUAGGAGAUCCUGGGUGGAGGCGAAGCCGGGUUAUGGGAGAAGUCACCGUCACCCUCAGCAGCCAUCGAGAGUGGACUACUGUGGCGAGAAAAGGAGCUGUCGCUUUGCAUUCUUUGUUUUUGAUUGAUUUGGGGAGAGCCAAUUAUUGUGCAUGAGGGUGCAGUGGCUUAGAAAGGAAGGAUUUUGGGGAUGGUGUUCAGAUUGUGCUUCAGACUGCUCUCCUUUGGGAUGAAGUCGGAAGGCAGAGCGAUUGACCUGGACAUUCCAAACAAGAAGCAGGCGGCACUUCUCUGUGUUACUCUAGUCAGCUCAUUUAAAGAUGUGCUUUUUUCCUCCUUUGUUAAAGUUCAUAGAUACAGAUAUAUAAUUAUAUAUAUUUCAUAUGUGUGCACAUGUGUAUGUAUGUGUAUAAAAUGGAAGACACACACUGAUUUCACAAUGACAAAAUAAUUCUGCAAAUGUUGCACUAGUGAUGGGAUGUUUUGGCAGGGAAAAUAACCUCACCAGAGAAACUGUGUGUUCUUUAAAAUAUUAAUAGAAGCUAUGUCCAAUUAAAGUGUGGAACUCGCUA
Non-coding RNA from Microcebus murinus (gray mouse lemur), 2555 nucleotides. The record is from RefSeq and is a predicted model, not a curated record. NCBI's taxonomy places the organism in Eukaryota, Metazoa, Chordata, Mammalia, Primates, Cheirogaleidae.